RNAcentral lists this ribosomal RNA (96 nucleotides) under Chrysozymaceae sp. APSS 906. Its description in RNAcentral is "partial large subunit ribosomal RNA". It matches the Rfam family "Eukaryotic large subunit ribosomal RNA", at positions 1 to 102 of the family's 3401-position model. Lineage: Eukaryota; Fungi; Basidiomycota; Microbotryomycetes; Chrysozymaceae. The record is from RNAcentral.
CAAAUCAGGUAGGACUACCCGCUGAACUUAAGCAUAUCAAUAAGCGGAGGAAAAGAAACUAACAAGGAUUCCCCUAGUAGCGGCGAGCGAAGCGGG